Dreissena polymorpha is the source of this 1900-nucleotide long non-coding RNA. RefSeq lists it as uncharacterized. The record is from RefSeq and is a predicted model, not a curated record. Lineage: Eukaryota; Metazoa; Mollusca; Bivalvia; Myida; Dreissenidae. The transcript is spliced from 8 exons.
UUUGGUAUCAACUUGAAGGUAUAUUUGUAAGCAAUAAGAAAAUAAGCCAUUUUUGUACUCUACUUUUUGUGUUGAUGGUUCCCGGCUUCGAAAGUAGGUCAUACUAUUUGAGCCCAAAAUGGUUGUCUGCACAGCUGUCAAAACCGGUUUGCCUAUUCUAAGGUAAAUAUUUUGAGUUUGCGCGUAUAGAAUUUAAUGACAUGCAUUUUUUUUCAAAAGAUUAUGCAUUAAUCUUUCCAAUGAUGUAUGAUGAUAUAGUGGGUAUGCGCUUGAUCAUGGUAAAAAUUGAUAUCGAACUUCAACUAUUUUAUAUGUAAUAUAGAAGGAAAUUAAUUGCGCAUGCGUAACCUUUAAGCACAUCCGACCAAGUUAGUCGUCUGCCAGAAUUUUGACAUUUGACCAUUAAAAACUCUCUGUAUUGCAAAACAUAACUGCCAGAUGUCAUUUUGACCCAAAUAAGGGCUGUUUGCAAUUGGGCUGUUGCACUUGGGGUCAUAAGGGGGGUAAAUGCUGGAAAAUCACACCGAAACCUGUUCCGGAGACAUAUUCUAAGACUACUUAAACACCCGGUAUUGUUUUUCAGUGCCAUUUUGACAUUAAUUUGCAUCAAUCUCAAUAAUGAACCUAAUGCAUGUCUUUAUUUCAUCUGUAUUUAUUAUUAUUGUUUACUUUUUGAGCCUUUUUCUGUUAAAAAUGCCCGCCAAUUUUGGACCUACACUUCUAUCCGCCUUCGCCUUCAACCCAUUCAGGCAGAUCUACUCAGAAUAACACUACUUUGCCUUAUUUUACCUGUUUGGAUAUCUCGCUGAGUUCAAGUAAAAUCAAGUAUUCAGCUGAAAACACAAAAAUGAUAAUAAUAUUAUGCUUUCUUUCCUGGAAGAAUGUUGUUGCGAUAGACCCUGCAUGAAAAACACCAGGGAAUCUGUAUUUAAGUGACCUUAAUAUUAUGCGUAAACCUAAGUGUGCAUUUGUAGGCGGUGUCGAAAUGGGUCUAUAGCUCUGCCUGAACUGUCGUCCAAUUGGUUUACAAGUCCGGCUGAAGUGACAGGCCAUCAAAAACUGUACAGUGUGACUGAUUCGGAGACGGCCCUCAACACUCGCCCAGUCGUGUCGAGAGGAUCGGUGUCUUUGCAGAUUACACGGAAUUGAGCACCCGGGCCAGACUGACACUUUCCGGAGCCUGCCCUAGACGGAACUCGAGCCGAGGAAUCAUAGGUCCAGGCGGUGUCGAAAUGGGUCUAUAGCUCUGCCUGAACUGUCGUCCAAUUGGUUUACAAGUCCGGCUGAAGUGACAGGCCAUCAAAAACUGUACAGUGUGACUGAUUCGGAGACGGCCCUCAACACUCGCCCAGUCGUGUCGAGAGGAUCGGUGUCUUUGCAGAUUACACGGAAUUGAGCACCCGGGCCAGACUGACACUUUCCGGAGCCUGCCCUAGACGGAACUCGAGCCGAGGAAUCAUAGGUCCAGGCGGUGUCGAAAUGGGUCUAUAGCUCUGCCUGAACUGUCGUCCAAUUGGUUUACAAGUCCGGCUGAAGUGACAGGCCAUCAAAAACUGUACAGUGUGACUGAUUCGGAGACGGCCCUCAACACUCGCCCAGUCGUGUCGAGAGGAUCGGUGUCUUUGCAGAUUACACGGAAUUGAGCACCCGGGCCAGACUGACACUUUCCGGAGCCUGCCCUAGACGGAACUCGAGCCGAGGAAUCAUAGGUCCAGGCGGUGUCGAAAUGGGUCUAUAGCUCUGCCUGAACUGUCGUCCAAUUGGUUUACAAGUCCGGCUGAAGUGACAGGCCAUCAAAAACUGUACAGUGUGACUGAUUCGGAGACGGCCCUCAACACUCGCCCAGUCGUGUCGAGAGGAUCGGUGUCUUUGCAGAUUACACGGAAUUGAGCACCCGGCC